AACGAACGCUGGCGGCAUGCCUAACACAUGCCAGUCGAACGAGACCUUCGGGUCUAGUGGCGCACGGGUGCGUAACGCGUGGGAACCUGCCCUUAGGUUCGGAAUAACUCCCCGAAAGGGGUGCUAAUACCGGAUAAUGUCUUCGGACCAAAGAUUUAUCGCCUUUGGAUGGGCCCGCGUUGGAUUAGCUAGUUGGUAAGGUAAAAGCCUACCAAGGCGACGAUCCAUAGCUGGUCUGAGAGGAUGAUCAGCCACACUGGGACUGAGACACGGCCCAGACUCCUACGGGAGGCAGCAGUGGGGAAUAUUGGACAAUGGGCGAAAGCCUGAUCCAGCAAUGCCGCGUGAGUGAUGAAGGCCUUAGGGUUGUAAAGCUCUUUUACCCGGGAUGAUAAUGACAGUACCGGGAGAAUAAGCGCCGGCUAACUCCGUG
RNAcentral lists this ribosomal RNA (433 nucleotides) under uncultured bacterium. RNAcentral describes it as "partial 16S ribosomal RNA". It matches the Rfam family "Bacterial small subunit ribosomal RNA", at positions 29 to 507 of the family's 1533-position model. The record is from RNAcentral.